Caerostris darwini is the source of this 87-nucleotide non-coding RNA. The record is from the annotation of a GenBank genome assembly. NCBI's taxonomy places the organism in Eukaryota, Metazoa, Arthropoda, Arachnida, Araneae, Araneidae.
UGGUUCUCGUUAGAUCACCGAAGUCAAGCAUCAUUGGGCGCGGUCAGUACUUGGGUGGGUGACCACCUGGGAACACUGCGUGCCGUU